CAGGAUGAACGCUGGCGGCGUGCUUAACACAUGCAAGUCGAACGGUGAAGAGAAGCUUGCUUCUUGGAUCAGUGGCGAACGGGUGAGUAACACGUGAGCAAUCUGCCCCUGACUCUGGGAUAAGCGCUGGAAACGGUGUCUAAUACUGGAUACGAGCUGCGGAGGCAUCUCCAGCAGUUGGAAAGAUUUUUCGGUCAGGGAUGAGCUCGCGGCCUAUCAGCUUGUUGGUGAGGUAAUGGCUCACCAAGGCGUCGACGGGUAGCCGGCCUGAGAGGGUGACCGGCCACACUGGGACUGAGACACGGCCCAGACUCCUACGGGAGGCAGCAGUGGGGAAUAUUGCACAAUGGGCGGAAGCCUGAUGCAGCAACGCCGCGUGAGGGAUGACGGCCUUCGGGUUGUAAACCUCUUUUAGCAAGGAAGAAGCGAAAGUGACGGUACUUGCAGAAAAAGCGCCGGCUAACUACGUGCCAGCAGCCGCGGUAAUACGUAGGGCGCAAGCGUUAUCCGGAAUUAUUGGGCGUAAAGAGCUCGUAGGCGGUUUGUCGCGUCUGCUGUGAAAUCCCGAGGCUCAACCUCGGGCCUGCAGUGGGUACGGGCAGACUAGAGUGCGGUAGGGGAGAUUGGAAUUCCUGGUGUAGCGGUGGAAUGCGCAGAUAUCAGGAGGAACACCGAUGGCGAAGGCAGAUCUCUGGGCCGUAACUGACGCUGAGGAGCGAAAGGGUGGGGAGCAAACAGGCUUAGAUACCCUGGUAGUCCACCCCGUAAACGUUGGGAACUAGUUGUGGGGUCCAUUCCACGGAUUCCGUGACGCAGCUAACGCA
RNAcentral lists this ribosomal RNA (824 nucleotides) under bacterium. Its description in RNAcentral is "bacterial SSU rRNA". It matches the Rfam family "Bacterial small subunit ribosomal RNA", at positions 25 to 859 of the family's 1533-position model. The record is from RNAcentral.